Molecule: long non-coding RNA, 398 nt
Organism: Mus pahari (shrew mouse)
Lineage: Eukaryota; Metazoa; Chordata; Mammalia; Rodentia; Muridae
Exons: 3
Source: RefSeq, a predicted model, not a curated record
CCGGCCGUUGCCUAGGAAGGGCGCGUCGUCUCGCNGCUCGCUCGGCUGCGACGGGGUAGGGGCGCCGCUGCAUUUUUGGUCGCUACUCAGGAGACCACACCUUCCUGAGAACCAGGCCCGAGACCAAAGUAUUACUUUGUAGCUCUCAGAAGCCAGGACUCUGCGAUACUGUUGGCUGUGUGUGGAUCUUCUAUAUUCACAGUGUACCAGUUACUUCUGGUCUACCACUGUUAGAUAACUUCUGCCACACAUCCUAAUAGUACAGUUGCUCUUGGAAAGGAGUCACAGCCGCUGUCUGCCAGGAGUCCCUCGUCCGACUCCUGUGGUUGCCCUUUCCAUCAUGCCAAAGAAUAAAGGCAAAGGAGGCAAAAACAGGCGCAGAGGGAAAAAUGAAAACG